UACUAGCACACAAUGCAUCUCCUGGAAUCCUGCAUAUGCUAGUGUGCCACGAUUUUCUCUGGCCCUGCCACAUGCACCAGUUACCCCUCCACCAGAAAUACCCGAUACACUUGACAACAAGUGGAGUAGCCUUGCCCGGACUGACCAAUUGCCAGCUUGCCUCAUGUGCUCAGCAGUGAGGGCUAGAGCCCAGCUGGGGAGUUCCCCACCUUCCCCCACCAGGCCGACUCCCACACCCAGAUCUCACUUGUUCUAGAGGUUUCUAGCCCCUAACCCUGCAGUCUGCACCCUCUGUCUUGUCCUUUGUGUGAGCUGAUGUAUGAUGUUGCCCUUGCCACUACAUAUCAUUUAUUUGUGUGUGUGUGUGUUCCUGCAGGUGCUGCAUCCUGGAUGAGCUGGGUCUGUUCCCAACCCGAGUUUCCAUGAGUGCCAGCGGGUUCCUUGGUCAUGCCUAGCUCAACGCAUGGCCACCCUAACUCCUGAGCAAACCAGCCCCUGCCAGCUUUGCACCCUGGGUCUCUCUGCACUGCAGUGCAGGCCACGCCUCCCGCUCCAAGGCCCUUUGCAGGUGAAGAGUCAGUCACCAUCAGUGCUCAGGGUCCAGCGAGGGAGUCAAGGGACCACCACGCCAUGGCGCAGCAAGACCACCUGACAGCACGCAAGAUGGGACAGAAAAGCCAGCAUGCAUGGUGGAGUGGCCCUUGGUGUCUGGACUGCUGCUGUUGCUGAAGAACGUCUCCCCUGGGCUCACCGACCUGGAAGCAGGAGAGACCCAGUCAGACGUGACUCGCAGCCAGUUCAGUCCCCACGGGUGGGCUGGGAGACAGACUCCCUGGCGCCCUGGCCCUUGGUUCUGAACUCUGGUCUUUGUCAGCCAUCCUCGGCCUGUCAGUGGGGGUCCCUGACUCUGGGCCUGAGGUGGGCCACUCGCCAACAGGAGAGCCCAUGCCCAAUCCCAGACCCUAACCACUCAGCUCACGGCCCAAGGUGCGUCCUUGCCCAGCCCCCAUCCCUGACGGGAACUAAUGAGUCAGGGGUGACCACCACGCAGGAUGUUGCUGUGCUUACCCUUCCGCGUUCUGGCAAAUUCCAUGAG
This is a long non-coding RNA of Ochotona curzoniae (black-lipped pika), 1096 nucleotides long. RefSeq lists it as uncharacterized. The record is from RefSeq and is a predicted model, not a curated record. The transcript is spliced from 3 exons. Lineage: Eukaryota; Metazoa; Chordata; Mammalia; Lagomorpha; Ochotonidae.